CUUCAGACCAGAAACACUGACCUGCACAAUAAUACUGGAUCUGCUACACUUGUCACCCUGAAUGUGAAAGCAGAAAAUUCUGGGCAGUACAUCUGUAUGGCAAAACAUCUGGACAAAACACUGACUUCAUAUGUCAAUGUGACUCUGACAUGGCAUACAAAGAUACAGAAUGGCUCUGGAUGUGUGCUUCAGUCAGAUGCUUUGACCUGUGUGUGUAUCAGUGAAGGGUUUCCCUUACCUACCAUCAAAUGGCCGCUCCUAGAAAACCACACUCAGUAUACUCUCAUUACUACUGUGUCAAACCACACAGUCAACAGCACUGUCAGUCUAACUGUAAAAAAACAUGGCAACAGCACUGUUGAAUGUGUCAGCAACAAUGGAAAUGGA
Long non-coding RNA from Oreochromis aureus, 387 nucleotides. The record is from Ensembl. Lineage: Eukaryota; Metazoa; Chordata; Actinopteri; Cichliformes; Cichlidae.